CAGCCUCCAGAGUAGCUGGAACUACAGACACAUACUACCGUGCCCAGGUGGUAUCAGAAGCGGGAUCCAAAACGGAGCUUCUAGCAAACUCCUGGAGUGCCGAGUGAACACACAAGGUACCAGCAGAACCGACUUGUGUCCACGGAUCUCUCAGAGCGGCUGGGGAUGGUGGGUAAGUUCACUCU
Molecule: long non-coding RNA, 185 nt
Filed under: Callithrix jacchus (white-tufted-ear marmoset)
Lineage: Eukaryota; Metazoa; Chordata; Mammalia; Primates; Cebidae
Description: lncRNA (ENSCJAG00000073891.1)
Source: RNAcentral